GAUGAAGAACGCAGCGAAAUGCGAUAAGUAAUGCGAAUUGCAGAAUCCGUGAGUCAUCGAAUCUUUGAACGCACAUUGCGCCCGCCAGCACUCUGGCGGGCAUGCCUGUUCGAGCGUCAUUUCAACCAUCAAGCCCCCAGGGGCUUGUGCUGGGGCCCUGCGGCUGCCCGCAGGCCCUGAAAACCAGUGGCGGGCUCGCUAGUCACACCGAGCGCAGUAGCACAUCUCGCUCAGGGCGUGCGGCGGGCUCCUGCCGUGAAACCCCCCACUGUAACCCCAAAGGUUGACCUCGGAUCAGGUAGGAAUACCCGCUGAACUUAAGCAUAUCAAUAAGCGGAGGA
RNAcentral lists this unclassified non-coding RNA (341 nucleotides) under soil metagenome. RNAcentral describes it as "partial contains 5.8S ribosomal RNA, internal transcribed spacer 2, and large subunit ribosomal RNA". The stretch from base 1 to 119 matches the Rfam family "5.8S ribosomal RNA", at positions 35 to 154 of the family's 154-position model. The record is from RNAcentral.